GACGAACGCUGGCGGCGUGCUUAACACAUGCAAGUCGAACGGAAAGGCCCUGCUUUUGUGGGGUGCUCGAGUGGCGAACGGGUGAGUAACACGUGAGUAACCUGCCCUUGACUUUGGGAUAACUUCAGGAAACUGGGGCUAAUACCGGAUAGGAGCUCCUGCUGCAUGGUGGGGGUUGGAAAGUUUCGGCGGUUGGGGAUGGACUCGCGGCUUAUCAGCUUGUUGGUGGGGUAGCGGCUUACCAAGGCUUUGACGGGUAGCCGGCCUGAGAGGGUGACUGGCCACAUUGGGACUGAGAUACGGCCCAGACUCCUACGGGAGGCAGCAGUGGGGAAUAUUGCACAAUGGGCGGAAGCCUGAUGCAGCAACGCCGCGUGCGGGAUGACGGCCUUCGGGUUGUAAACCGCUUUCGCCUGUGACGAAGCGUGAGUGACGGUAAUGGGUAAAGAAGCACCGGCUAACUACGUG
RNAcentral lists this ribosomal RNA (468 nucleotides) under uncultured bacterium. RNAcentral's name for it is "partial 16S ribosomal RNA". It matches the Rfam family "Bacterial small subunit ribosomal RNA", at positions 28 to 507 of the family's 1533-position model. The record is from RNAcentral.